UACGUAGGGGGCAAGCGUUAUCCGGAUUUACUGGGUGUAAAGGGGGCGCAGACGGCGAUGCAAGCCAGGAGUAAAAGCCCGGGGCCCAACCCCGGGAGUGCAUUGGGAACUGGCAAGCUAGAGUGUCGGAGAGGCAGGCGGAAUUCCUAGUGUAGCGGUGAAAUGCGUAGAUAUUAGGAGGAACACCAGUGGCGAAGGCGGCCUGCUGGACGAUGACUGACGCUGAGGCUCGAAAGCGUGGGGAGCAAACAGG
Molecule: ribosomal RNA, 253 nt
Filed under: uncultured bacterium
Lineage: Bacteria
Description: partial 16S ribosomal RNA
Rfam family: Bacterial small subunit ribosomal RNA
Source: RNAcentral